RNAcentral lists this ribosomal RNA (460 nucleotides) under uncultured bacterium. RNAcentral describes it as "partial 16S ribosomal RNA". It matches the Rfam family "Bacterial small subunit ribosomal RNA", at positions 338 to 795 of the family's 1533-position model. The record is from RNAcentral.
CCUACGGUAGGCUGCAGUGAGGAAUAUUGGUCAAUGGACGAGAGUCUGAACCAGCCAAGUAGCGUGAAGGAUGACUGCCCUAUGGGUUGUAAACUUCUUUUAUAUGGGAGUAAAAUGUUCCACGUGUGGGAUUUUGUAUGUACCAUAUGAAUAAGGCUUGGCUAACUCCGUGCCAGCCGCCGCGGUAAUACGGAGGGUCAGAGUGUUAUCCGAAUUUAUUGGGUUUCAAGGGAGCGUAGAGGGGUUGUUAAGUCAGUUGUGAAAGUUUGCGGCUCAACCGUAAAAUUGCAAUUGAUACUGGCAGUCUUGAGUACAGUUGAGGUAAGCGGAAUUCGUGGUGUAGCGGUGAAAUGCUGAGAUAGCACGAAGAACCCCGAUUGCGAAGGCAGCUUACUAAACUGUGACUGACAUGGAUGCUCGAAAGUGUGGGUAUCAAACAGGAUUAGAUACCCCAGUAGUC